GUCUCUGUGGCGCAACGGGUCAGUGCAUCUGGCUGUUAAGCAGAAGGUUGGUGGUUCAAGCCCACCCAGGGACG
This 74-nucleotide transfer RNA is filed under the name Podarcis lilfordi (Lilford's wall lizard). It matches the Rfam family "tRNA". From Rfam's summary of the family: Transfer RNA (tRNA) molecules are approximately 80 nucleotides in length. Lineage: Eukaryota; Metazoa; Chordata; Lepidosauria; Squamata; Lacertidae. The record is from Rfam by way of RNAcentral.